RNAcentral lists this ribosomal RNA (384 nucleotides) under uncultured bacterium. RNAcentral's name for it is "bacterial SSU rRNA". It matches the Rfam family "Bacterial small subunit ribosomal RNA", at positions 28 to 412 of the family's 1533-position model. The record is from RNAcentral.
GACGAACGCUGGCGGCGUGCUUAACACAUGCAAGUCGAGCGGUAAGGCCCCUUCGGGGGUACGACGAGCGGCGAACGGGUGAGUAACACGUGGGUGACCUGCCCUCAGCUCUGGGAUAAGCCUGGGAAACUGGGUCUAAUACCGGAUAUGACUCCAUGACGCAUGUCGUGGGGUGGAAAGCCUUGUGCGGCUGGGGAUGGGCCCGCGGCCUAUCAGCUUGUUGGUGGGGUGAGGCCUACCAAGGCGACGACGGGUAGCCGGCCUGAGAGGGCGACCGGCCACACUGGGACUGAGACACGGCCCAGACUCCUACGGGAGGCAGCAGUGGGGAAGUCUUGCGCAAUGGGCGAAAGCCUGACGCAGCGACGCCGCGUGAGGGAUGAC